GACGAACGCUGGCGGCGUGCUUAACACAUGCAAGUCGAACGGGCCUGUCUUCUUUUUUGGGGGGUGGGUUGAGUGGCGAACGAGUGAGUAUCACGUGAGUAACCUGCCCUUCGGUCCUGGAUAACCGCUUGAAAGGGCGGCUAAUACGGUGUGGUCCGGUUGGUCCGCAUGGGCUGGUCGGGAUAGAUUCACUGUUUUUGGUGUUUCGGCGGGGGAUGGGCUCGCGGGCUAUCAGCUUGUGGGUGGGGUGAUGGCCUUCGCGGGCGGGGACGGGUAGCCGGCAUGAGGGGGUGGGCGGCGACAGGGGGACUGGGAUACGGCGCAGACACCUGCGGGAGGCAGCAGUGGGGGGGAUUGCAGAAGGGGCGGAAGCCUGAUGCGGCGACGUCGCGUGAGGGAUGGAGGCGUUCGGGUUGUGAACCUCUGGGUCCGGUGGUGAAGGCCCUGUCCGUGUGGUGGGGUUGACGGUAGCCGGGGAUGAAGCGCCGGCUAACUACGUG
This 500-nucleotide ribosomal RNA is filed under the name uncultured bacterium. Its description in RNAcentral is "partial 16S ribosomal RNA". It matches the Rfam family "Bacterial small subunit ribosomal RNA", at positions 28 to 507 of the family's 1533-position model. The record is from RNAcentral.